Molecule: long non-coding RNA, 988 nt
Filed under: Ursus americanus (American black bear)
Lineage: Eukaryota; Metazoa; Chordata; Mammalia; Carnivora; Ursidae
Description: lncRNA (ENSUAMG00000000988.1)
Source: RNAcentral
CGCCGCUCUAGGCCGCAGCCCGCGCCCCAGCUGCAUUUCCGCCCGCGCUGGGAGGGAGGGUGGGUUUCUUUUGGUUCCUGCCGCCUCCCCGAGCGGUCCCGAACCCUCCCGCACCGUGCCGCACCUUCUCCGCGUCGUUCCCUUUGACCCCCGCCGACAACAGUCCCGGCGCCCCGGGCCGUGCGAGCUCUGCGGCUGUCUUGGAAGCAGAUGGAGACUGUCCCUUGGACGGCUUUGCGGGCCGAGCCGCAGGCAGCACCCCUUUCUGCCCCGCAGGACCGUGGUCCGCAGCGCCAGAUGCCCCCCCACCCCCGUGUGCAGGGCUGAGGCCUGCUGGCUUGGAGAAAGAUGAGAUCACGUUGGAACCCGGACACUUGUGACCUCCUGCUCUGUGGCAUCCUCCUCGCUCUAGGAGUGCUGCCUCGGAGCUGGAGAUUGCUGGAGGAAGCCUGAGUGGACGGAGGCACUGGCCCUCUCAGGACGACCCAGGCCCCAGCUGCCCUGGAGGGACCUCCUCAUGGUGAGUUAAUGCCAAGGGGCUAAGUCGGCCUGUGUUUCUGAUACGGAAAUUCCAGGCUGCUGGCCUCAUUGGACCUUCUCCUUUAGAUUAUGUCGGGGUUGAUCGUGGACACUGGAGUAGCAUGAUGAAGAAUAAUGUUGCCAGGUGAAGCAUCGCCAGACCUUCUUACCCUGUUGCCUCAGCACAGCAUGGAAGCACUUUUCCCUCUGUGUAAGCAGGCCAGAGGGAAAGCCCUGGGACCCUGGAGGCUUGAGGUCCAGAGCUAGAGACUUCAGCUGUUUCUGCCACUCCCCCAGCAGGUGUCACCGAGCGCCGUGGACCAGGAAGACUGGUUCCCUUCCACCUGGCCAGGUUGUCCAGCAGCCUCACGUCUCCCAACCUACUCCUCCUGUAACGUUUUAGAACCAAGAGUUUUCUGCACAGUGCAUCCUUGUCCUCUCACCCACCCAAUAAAUCUUGAAACUGCCC